Molecule: ribosomal RNA, 496 nt
Filed under: uncultured bacterium
Lineage: Bacteria
Description: partial 16S ribosomal RNA
Rfam family: Bacterial small subunit ribosomal RNA
Source: RNAcentral
AUUGAACGCUGGCGGCAGGCUUAACACAUGCAAGUCGAGCGGGGGAAGGUAGCUUGCUACCGGACCUAGCGGCGGACGGGUGAGUAACACGUAGGAAUCUGCCCAGAAGCGGGGGACAACCAAGGGAAACUUUGGCUAAUACCGCGUAAUCUCGCAAGAGUAAAGCUGCCCGCAAGGGUGGCGCUUCUGGAGGAGCCUGCGUCCGAUUAGCUAGUUGGUGAGGUAAGAGCUCACCAAGGCGAUGAUCGGUAACUGGUCUGAGAGGACGACCAGUCACACUGGGACUGAGACACGGCCCAGACGCCUACGGGAGGCAGCAGUGGGGAAUAUUGGACAAUGGGGGCAACCCUGAUCCAGCGAUGCCGCGUGGGUGAAGAAGGCCUUCGGGUUGUAAAGCCCUUUAGGUUGGGAAGAAGUGUACGGGGCGAAUAACCCCGUAUGUUGACGGUACCGACAAAAUAAGCACCGGCAAACUCUGUGCCAGCAGCAGCCGCAG